GAUGAACGCUGGCGGCGUGCUUAACACAUGCAAGUCGAACGGAAAGGCCCAAGCUUGCUUGGGUCCUCGAGUGGCGAACGGGUGAGUAACACGUGGGUGAUCUGCCCUGCACUUCGGGAUAAGCCUGGGAAACUGGGUCUAAUACCGGAUAGGACGAUGGUUUGGAUGCCAUUGUGGAAAGUUUUUUCGGUGUGGGAUGAGCUCGCGGCCUAUCAGCUUGUUGGUGGGGUAAUGGCCUACCAAGGCGUCGACGGGUAGCCGGCCUGAGAGGGUGUACGGCCACAUUGGGACUGAGAUACGGCCCAGACUCCUACGGGAGGCAGCAGUGGGGAAUAUUGCACAAUGGGCGCAAGCCUGAUGCAGCGACGCCGCGUGGGUGAUGACGGCCUUCGGGUUGUAAACUCCUUUCGCUAGGGACGAAGCGUUUUUGUGACGGUACCUGGAGAAGAAGCACCGGCUAACUACGUG
This 468-nucleotide ribosomal RNA is filed under the name uncultured bacterium. Its description in RNAcentral is "partial 16S ribosomal RNA". It matches the Rfam family "Bacterial small subunit ribosomal RNA", at positions 28 to 507 of the family's 1533-position model. The record is from RNAcentral.